This is a long non-coding RNA of Drosophila ananassae, 808 nucleotides long. RefSeq lists it as uncharacterized. NCBI's taxonomy places the organism in Eukaryota, Metazoa, Arthropoda, Insecta, Diptera, Drosophilidae. The record is from RefSeq and is a predicted model, not a curated record. The transcript is spliced from 2 exons.
AUUUCGCUUUUCAAACGCUGUUUUAGUCGCAACCUUCAACUUAAAGUUCAAGCGGCAAGUUCAUGUGACGUCAGAGGAGCCACAGGUGGUUUUUGUUGUUGUUUCCGUCAGAUCCAAUACCAGAGCCAAUUUAUACGCCAUCUGAUUCUUGGCUCUGACUCUAGGCUCAAAGCCGAGAACUCCCCGAGAACCCCCAGAACCAGUUUUAUGGCCAAAACCACCGCCCCCCCCCACCUCGGCAGUUGGCGCGUUUUGUUCGCGUCUUGGCCGCGACUCUUGGCGUCCAUAUCCGUCCAUUAUACUUAUAAAGUUCGAUUCAGUAGCAACCGGAGCGCCAAACGAGGCGGUCAACUUGGCUCAAGCCCCUCACUCGACUCUAUCGCUAUUAUUGGCCAGAUCAAGCGCGAACUCCCCCCCUUUUUGUUUUUUUUUGUUUUUUUCGAGUUUGCGAGUUUUUCACCAAAAAAAUCAAAAGAAAUGACAAUUUAUGGACUGUUAGUGCAGAUCAUAAUUAUUUGUAAUUAAAAGCUAAAGAGUCCCCAUCCCAGAGUCCCCACCAAGCAGCAGAAACAUGGCUCCGCCCCAAGAACAACAGGAGGAUGAUUUUAUCACCAAGAUACCCUCGAUAAUUGGAUUCCUGAACUUGGACUGACGACAAAAAUCUACGAAAAUAUCAUUGAAGAAUGAAGAAUUCAGAGAGCCAAGGCUGAAGCCAUGAAUCAUGAGAAUUAUAGCUGAAAACAACGAUCUUUUUAAUCAAAAAUGAAUAAGAAAUAAAUCAAUCAAUAAAUGAGAAAUGUGAAAAGAA